UAGGGGAGCCGAAGGGAAACCGAGUCUUAACUGGGCGUUAAGUUGCAGGGUAUAGACCCGAAACCCGGUGAUCUAGCCAUGGGCAGGUUGAAGGUUGGGUAACACUAACUGGAGGACCGAACCGACUAAUGUUGAAAAAUUAGCGGAUGACUUGUGGCUGGGGGUGAAAGGCCAAUCAAACCGGGAGAUAGCUGGUUCUCCCCGAAAGCUAUUUAGGUAGCGCCUCGUGAAUUCAUCUCCGGGGGUAGAGCACUGUUUCGGCAAGGGGGUCAUCCCGACUUACCAACCCGAUGCAAACUGCGAAUACCGGAGAAUGUUAUCACGGGAGACACACGGCGGGUGCUAACGUCCGUCGUGAAGAGGGAAACAACCCAGACCGCCAGCUAAGGUCCCAAAGUCAUGGUUAAGUGGGAAACGAUGUGGGAAGGCCCAGACAGCCAGGAUGUUGGCUUAGAAGCAGCCAUCAUUUAAAGAAAGCGUAAUAGCUCACUGGUCGAGUCGGCCUGCGCGGAAGAUGUAACGGGGCUAAACCAUGCACCGAAGCUGCGGCAGCGACACUAUGUGUUGUUGGGUAGGGGAGCGUUCUGUAAGCCUGUGAAGGUGGCCUGUGAGGGUUGCUGGAGGUAUCAGAAGUGCGAAUGCUGACAUAAGUAACGAUAAAGCGGGUGAAAAGCCCGCUCGCCGGAAGACCAAGGGUUCCUGUCCAACGUUAAUCGGGGCAGGGUGAGUCGACCCCUAAGGCGAGGCCGAAAGGCGUAGUCGAUGGGAAACAGGUUAAUAUUCCUGUACUUGGUGUUACUGCGAAGGGGGGACGGAGAAGGCUAUGUUGGCCGGGCGACGGUUGUCCCGGUUUAAGCGUGUAGGCUGGUUUUCCAGGCAAAUCCGGAAAACC
This 892-nucleotide ribosomal RNA is filed under the name Escherichia coli. RNAcentral describes it as "partial 23S ribosomal RNA". It matches the Rfam family "Bacterial large subunit ribosomal RNA", at positions 658 to 1551 of the family's 2925-position model. The record is from RNAcentral. Lineage: Bacteria; Pseudomonadati; Pseudomonadota; Gammaproteobacteria; Enterobacterales; Enterobacteriaceae.